GGUCCGGCGCUGGCUCCGCUGGAGUGCGAGCGGGGCAGCCGCUUAUUCGGGUGUCCCGGCGCGGUUUUUUGUAGUGUGCACCCCGCGAACGAGCCAUCCCCGUGGGAAGAAGUAUUGAAAAAAGGGCUGUCCGGGCUAGUCCCGGCGAGCUCCUUGGGAGCGCCUUUCCAAGUUGUAGGAACCACGACGGACGUUUGUCCCGCAGUGAGGGUGAGCACGGUGGCACUGCCCAGGAGGUUAAAUUCACGCCCUCCCAGUGUGCCGCAGUCUGUCCAUGCUCACGGAUCCCGAGGAUGGCCGGUGUUAGGAAGUGUGGAUAGCAGUGAAGUACCUGCUGUCCACCACUUUCUUCAUUUAACUGCCCCUUGGGGUCAGCUGCUUGUCAGCAUGCCUUCAACCGAGAGCACCUCAAAGCUUUUCCUGGUCCUCGUGUCACUGCUGCUGGUGCUGCCAGUAGUUGAAGCCCUGGACGCAGGAGAUACCAUUGCCUUCCUCCUAGGCCUCGCUGUCAGUGUUGUCGGAUUCUGCGCCUGCCUUGGCUUGUACGCAAGGAGAAGGAAUGGACAGCAGUGACUUCAAGAAAAUGCUCAGAUGAAAUGAAUUUCUGAGCACAGCUUGGGGUUGGGUGUGACUGAGCUUUGGUUCUGGAAAACUUUCAAAAAAAAUGUAGUAGAUAUUUCUGCAAACCCCUCUUAUUGUUCAGUACAACAGAGUCAAGACAGUACAUGACUGUAUUAGUAAAAGGCAUUUGUAUGAUCUGUCCUCAUUACAAAAAGAUAAUUUGUGUUUGUGAUUAAAUUGCCUUAGAGAAGGGUAAAAACUUUUUGAAUGGGGAAGUAAAACUAUAGAGAGGCUCACAGUAAGAGUUUAUAAAUUUAGCAUGUGAGGGAGGCCAUCAACAAGUUCCAUAAUUUUGGUUUCAAUAUUAAAUCAGGAGGAAGCAGCUAUUAAUCUUCCAGUCAAGAUGACAAGAGUUUUGAAAUUAGUCCUAACUAGAUAGCGAGCGAGCUGCUCUAAACUUGUGUGCUCAUGCUCACAUUCUCUGUAAUGACAGUUAACACCUAACAGCUCACUUCUGCUGUCACAUGGAUGAGACUUAAGAGAACUAAGGAAACAUGAAAGGCUUUUUUUUUUCUUUUAGAAUAUUUUUAGAGUAUUUUUAUUUUAGAAUAUGCCACUCCUGUAGCCUGUAUUCUUAUUACCAAGCAGAUACACCUAAGAAUGAGAUCAUCAUUUUUACUUAGCAUGUAUUUCACAGAAAAGUACAUGUAAGGCUUUGUAAAUCAGAUUAGGAAUAUUGAUUUUUGUCUCUUGUUUAUUUUUUGUACUCAGCUUUUUUCUAGGUACACCAGGUUUAAGGCUUAGUUCAUUUGGUGUUUGCACUUUUUCUCCAAAACUGAAGACUUAACUAUUUUAAUGAAGAAUUCUGUGUAUUUCUGUAUUAGAAGGUUAUUUGAACUAUACCAAGAGCAUUGUGCACAUGUUUCUUUUACAAUGUAGAAAGAACUUGCUAAAAUUCUGGGUUUAGUCAUUUAGUCCAUUGUUCUUGUGUAUUCCUCGUGACAAACCUAUGUUGCUAGUUAAACAUUUAGGCUUCUCUAACUGAUGCAUAUGACUUCCACAGAAGACUGGGACCAAAACCAAAGUAAAAAACUCUGGUGCAAAAUUGGAGAUGUAAAUAGUCUUAUUCUAUUCAUGUUUAGUCAGAUUGUGUGGUAUAUGGUUGAAAGACAGUAGUGUGUCUGUUUCUUUAAGUACCAAAGGUGAAAUGGCUCAGCCAAGAAUGCCUGCCAUAAGUCUCUCUGACUUAGGGAGUUCCAGCUCAAGCCAAGGAGCACAAUCUGUAACAGCAGCAGAAUAAGGAACAUAGGAAGAUGAGCUCUCUGCUGCUCAAAGAAUUUCCUUCUGAUCUUGUGCUGUGGACACUGCCACUCUUUGCUAGAAAUCUUGGCUUUUAUCUUUCAGAGUUAUAUGUUUUGAUACUAUUCUUCAACUUCUUCUGUGCCUCUGUUCAGUAGAGCACAAAGCAAUGGCUAUGGGCAGGUCUUAUGUAAGUAAUUGUAAGUAAUUGGCUGGGCAGCUCAUGUUCUACAGAUCCUGAUUUCUGCAUGCCAUUUUUGGAAGAAAGGGACAGAAUGCACAAUUACUAGGCAGAAAUGAAAUUUACAGCCCUAAGACGACCUUCAGAAAGAAGUAUCACCUUUGAAAGCUGCCUAGCAGGAGUAGAUGAUCCUGUUUGUGAUAAUUCAACUGGGUGGUGCAAGCACAGAUUGAAGUGUGAUCUUUGAUGUUCCAGCUUAGCAAAACAAAUAAAAAGGAAAAAAAAAAAAAACCA
This 2335-nucleotide long non-coding RNA is filed under the name Serinus canaria (Common canary). RNAcentral describes it as "lncRNA (ENSSCAG00000009293.1)". The record is from RNAcentral. Lineage: Eukaryota; Metazoa; Chordata; Aves; Passeriformes; Fringillidae.